CGUCGGCAAACAUUCGCCAUUACCAGACACGCGCGCACGCACACACACGCGCGCUUUUGCCAUUGUCUUCUGUGUGUGUUGCACGACUGUAAUCUAUACACGGCAGCAUAAGCGCUAUAGACGACGUACUAUAUAGUAGUAAGGUCGUGUGUACAGUAGAUAUGUUUCAAAUGAACUUAUUGAAGGAGGGAGGGAGGAAGGAAGACAAGGCGGAAGUUAAAAAAGGAUGGUAGGAAGAAUGGAAGGAAGGAAGCCUGGAAAGAAGGAAGAUCCAGAUCCACUUUCAAGCAACAGCCAGCACUAUCGUGCAGAAACAGCCGCAUUCCCCGCAAAGUUUGACGCCCCUGACAUCACAUCGAAGCCAACAGAAAGCGAACAAAGCGAACGAAUGAACUCAAAUGCGGUGGCAGAAGCAGAAUCUCUGCAAAAGCGCUGCGCAUCUGCGUCGCGCGGAGCCCGAGGCUAGCUACAAGUAGCGGAGGU
Molecule: long non-coding RNA, 483 nt
Organism: Phyllopteryx taeniolatus (common seadragon)
Lineage: Eukaryota; Metazoa; Chordata; Actinopteri; Syngnathiformes; Syngnathidae
Exons: 3
Source: RefSeq, a predicted model, not a curated record